CUGAGUGAUCCUGCCAGUAGCAUAUUCCUGUCUCAAAGACUUGCCAUGCAAGUCUUAGUACAAAGAGCCGGUACAGUGAAACUGCAAAUGGCUCAUUAAAUUAGUUAUGGUUCCUUUGAUUGCUCCAACGUCACUUGGAUUGGAUGACUGCAGCAAUGAUAGAGCUAAUACAUGCCAACAAGUGUUGACCUUCAGGGAUGCAUGCAUUUAUUCAGACCCAAAACCCAUGCGGGGUAGGCCUACUCUCAAAUGCUUUUGGUGACCCUAUAACCUCGACAGGUGGCAUGCCAUUCGUGGCGCUGACAGUCUGCCCUAUCAACUUUCAAUGGUACUUUCUGUUCAUUCCAUAGUGACCAAAGGGGAAUCAUGGUUAGAUUCCGGAGAGGAGUCUAAAAAUGGCUAUCACAUCCAAGGAAGGCACCAUUGCGUGCAAAUUACACACUCCCGACUCGGCGAGUUAGUGGCGAAAAAUAACAAAAUAGGACUCUUUCGAGGCAAUGUAAUUGGAAUGACUACAUUUUAAAUCUUUUAAUUCAUGAGGAUCCAUGACUGAUGUUUAGAAGUUGCAUUUUAGAGCAGUCAGAAACUUCUGAAAGUGUCAUUAUUUAUGUU
This 612-nucleotide non-coding RNA is filed under the name Salmo salar (Atlantic salmon). RNAcentral describes it as "Eukaryotic small subunit ribosomal RNA". It matches the Rfam family "Eukaryotic small subunit ribosomal RNA", at positions 4 to 605 of the family's 1831-position model. Lineage: Eukaryota; Metazoa; Chordata; Actinopteri; Salmoniformes; Salmonidae. The record is from Rfam by way of RNAcentral.